UAGGGAAUCUUCGGCAAUGGGGGGAACCCUGACCGAGCAACGCCGCGUGAGUGAAGAAGGUUUUCGGAUCGUAAAGCUCUGUUGUUAAGGAAGAACGAGUGUGAGAAUGGAAAGUUCAUGCUGUGACGGUACUUAACCAGAAAGGGACGGCUAACUACGUGCCAGCAGCCGCGGUAAUACGUAGGUCCCGAGCGUUGUCCGGAUUUAUUGGGCGUAAAGCGAGCGCAGGGGGUUAGAAAAGUCUGAAGUGAAAGGCAGUGGCUCAACCAUUGUAGGCUUUGGAAAAUGUUUAACUUGAGUGCAGAAGGGGAGAGUGGAAUUCCAUGUGUAGCGGUGAAAUGCGUAGAUAUAUGGAGGAACACCGGUGGCGAAAGCGGCUCUCUGGUCUGUAACUGACGCUGAGGCUCGAAAGCGUGGGGAGUGAACAGG
RNAcentral lists this ribosomal RNA (429 nucleotides) under Verrucomicrobiota bacterium. Its description in RNAcentral is "Verrucomicrobia bacterium partial 16S ribosomal RNA". It matches the Rfam family "Bacterial small subunit ribosomal RNA", at positions 355 to 776 of the family's 1533-position model. The record is from RNAcentral. Lineage: Bacteria; Pseudomonadati; Verrucomicrobiota.